Camponotus floridanus (Florida carpenter ant) is the source of this 304-nucleotide long non-coding RNA. RefSeq lists it as uncharacterized. Lineage: Eukaryota; Metazoa; Arthropoda; Insecta; Hymenoptera; Formicidae. The record is from RefSeq and is a predicted model, not a curated record. The transcript is spliced from 3 exons.
AAAAGACUGAGAAGUUUUUCUUCAGCUAAUUACUUUUCUACAACAAAUAAUCAACUAAUGACUCGUAAAUUGUCAUACAAACCACUCAUAUCAGAAUAACUUAUAUGCGGUUCUUUUCAUUUUAAACCGCACAAUACAAAGUUUCAGAUGGAGAAAUAAAACUGAGAAGUUUUUCUUAAGCUAAUUACAUUUCAACAACCAACUAGUUACUACUAAAGUGAUUUAAAGUGGCUGAAAAAUGUUUCCUUAUAUUCUUUCCACAAUCCAAGAAAUAUCCUUUGAGAAUACAUGUAGAGAGCACGAA